This 422-nucleotide long non-coding RNA is filed under the name Fukomys damarensis (Damara mole-rat). RNAcentral's name for it is "lncRNA (ENSFDAG00000027648.1)". Lineage: Eukaryota; Metazoa; Chordata; Mammalia; Rodentia; Bathyergidae. The record is from RNAcentral.
GGUGCCCUUCCCCUGAAGAUAGUCCAAAUUCUGAUGGAAGGUGGUGAUCGUUCCAACUUACCAACUACGGAGGUCUGAUGUGCCUUUAUUUCUGUUGUUCACUCUGUUCUAUCUUAUGGAGCUCAGUAAAUUGCUUUUAUGACCACCUGUGUCUCUGCAGUGUGGAUCCAGGUACUGGCACAACCAGGAGGCCUGAGAGGGGUAUGGGGGAAGAAUGCUGUAGAGGCACCACACAGCUGGGCAUUUCUCACCAGUCUAAUAAAUUUUACAGGGAGACCUCUGUGAAAAUGGUUAUUUGCAAAAGUAAAAUCUGAAUGAAGAUGGCAUGUUCUUUUUAUGUUGAGAAAUCGAAAGGAGAAACAUACUGACUUCAAAUACCCUGAUUAAAGUAGUAUUCAAAUCCUAAACAUUACCCCAGGCAC